UUCAUAUUUCCUCCUCCUCUUCGUCUCUGGUCAGCAGCGGCGGCGGCUCGCCUAGCGCGGGCGUGCGGCCUAGCGACCAGCAGGUGAAGACGGCGCCGGAUCUCCCGUUCCACUCCACUCCUCCCCCAUCGUCUCCCCUUCCAUUCCUCUCCUCCCCUACAGGCAUAUCCCAAAUCCCCAAUCCUCCAUUGCUGCUGUAGUUCUUCAUUCAGUGGUGUCAUCGAAACCAAAUCACUGAGCUCUGGUGGUGCUCAUGGAGAUCCGGCGCGGGGUGGGUAGCAGUAGCAGCAGCAUCACCUAGAUGAGGGCCUGUGCAAGCGUUGGCCUUGGUGGUGCUACAGAUGGCCAUCCAAGGGCUGCAGCACCACUGCCGCCGCCACCUGCAGGACCAGCAGUAGCAGCAGCUUGUCAAGACCAUAAUGAUGGAGACAUUAACAAGGUGUGGAUGCAUGGCUCAAAGCUUGCUGGUCAGGGUUUCAAAUGUGGGUACUGUGGGACUACAAACAAAGGUGGAGGUGCAACAAGGUUUAGGGACCAUCUUGUGGCUGACUUCCAUUCUUAUUUUGGUAGCUGAUUGGUGGUUUCAGUUUGGAGGAGAAGUGCCUACGUUGCAGAAGUAUGCAUUGCGUAUUGUUUCACAAUGUGUUUCAUCUAGUGGUUGUGAGAGAAACUGGAGCACUUUUGCACUAGUGCAUACAAAAAUUAGGAACAAGCUUGGUUAUGACAAGUUGCAUAAACUUGUCUAUGUGCAUUAUAACUUGAAGGAGCGUAUUCGGGAGGAUAGUGGAUACCAACAGAAGGACAAGGAAGUUGACACAAUGGUGGUGAUGAAGAUGAGCCUGUGGUAGCUGCACCAAUAGUUGACUUAGAAGCUUUAGAUGAGGAAGAUGGUAAUCCUAAUGGCCGUAGAUCUGGAAGACUGCAGCAGAAAAGGAUGAGGACCCAGAGCCUAUCUACUCUCUAUGAGAGAGAGUAGUAGGACUCUUGUGUCAGGGUACAGUCUAGCAGCGGUUCUCCAACAAUGGUUCUGGAGGUAAUUUUUUGGUGUGUACAUGGUGAUGGGUGGAUGACUGCCAUGAAACACAAAGGUGUCAGUGGCAAUUGACAAUGCUUGCUGACAUGUUCUUUUGCGUUGCUUACUUGUGGGCGACUUGAUUCUGUUAGUGUAUGUAUGGCUGGCUGGACUGUAAUUAAAGUUCUACUCCAUUGGACUAUUUGAGGAGUGAUGAACUAGACUUCAUGUGGCCUCUGAUUUGGCCUCUUUGUAUUAAAUUUGGAUUCUGAACUAUUCAUGGAGUUCUAUGAACAAACUCCUAAGGACUGUUGUCUAAAUAUUGGUUGUGGGCUAUUGUGAAAUUGAAUCUAUGAUAGCUAUAGCCUUU
Sorghum bicolor (sorghum) is the source of this 1382-nucleotide long non-coding RNA. RefSeq lists it as uncharacterized. The transcript is spliced from 4 exons. NCBI's taxonomy places the organism in Eukaryota, Viridiplantae, Streptophyta, Magnoliopsida, Poales, Poaceae. The record is from RefSeq and is a predicted model, not a curated record.